This 1546-nucleotide long non-coding RNA is filed under the name Homo sapiens (human). RNAcentral's name for it is "non-protein coding lnc-ZEB2-19:1". The record is from RNAcentral. Lineage: Eukaryota; Metazoa; Chordata; Mammalia; Primates; Hominidae.
AUGGCAGGCAUGGAGGAGGCAGCGACCUUUGGGAGCUACAUGAAUGGCAACCUGGAUCCAGAUGAAAGGGAGGAGGAAGCUGCCUCUACAACUGAGGAAGAAGCCAAGAAAAACAGAUGGAGGAAAAAGAAGAGUAAAGGGGCUGCAGCAGGGCAGCAGGAAACUGAUAAAGGAUUAAGAGCCUCAGUGGAUGAAGGAGCAAGACAACUGGAAAGACAAGCAUUGGAAAAGAAAGAAAGAGAUGAUGAUGAUGAGACGGAGAUGGUGAUGGAGAUGGAGCAACUAGAAAGAAGAAGGAAAAGAGGAAAAAGAAGAAGGAAAAGAGGAGGAGGAGGAAGAAGAAGAAGAAAAGGAAGAAGAAGAAGAGGAGGAGGAGGAAGAAGAGGAAGAAGAGGAAGAAGAACAAGGAGGAGGAGGAAGAGGAAGAGGAAGAAGAAGAAGAAGAGGAGGAAGAAGAAACAACCAAAAUUCCAACAGACCCUCCCUCCCUCAGUUCCAAUAUGUGGCUGUAUCCUAGUCGUGUAUUUCCCAAAGGACAAGAAAGUGAAUACCCACACACACAAGAUGGAUGGAGAAUUAUGAGUGAAGAAAAGAAAGUGUUAGAUCAGGCUAGGGAAGAGAUUUGGAAUGAUUUUUGAGAAGCUGCAGAAGCACAUUGACAAGUGAGAAUAUAUGUAAUGAGCUGGAUCAAGCCUGGGAUGAUAGAAAUCUGUGAAAAGUUGGAAAACUGUUCACACAAUCUAAUAAAUGAAAAUGGAUUAAAUGCAUGCCUGGCAUUUCCUGCUGGAAGUUCUCACAAUAAUUGUGCUGCCCAUUAUACUCCCAUUGCUGGUGACACAACAGUAUUACAGUAAGAUAACAUCUGUAAAAUAGAUUUUGGAAUCGGUAUAAGUGGUAGGAAUAUUGACUACUGACUGUGGUCUUACUGUCACUUUUAAUCCCAAUUAUGAUACAUGAUUAAAAGCUGUAAAAGAUGCUGCUACUACUGGAAUGAAGUGUGCUGGAAUUGAUGUUCAUCUGUGUGAUGUUGGUGAGUCCAUCCAAAAAUUUAUGGAGUCCUAUGAAGUUGAAAUAGAUGGGAAGACACAACAGGUGAAACCAAUCCAUAACCUAAAUGGACAUUCAAUCGGGAAAUAUAGAAUACAUGCUGGAAAAACAGUGUCCAUUCCGAAAGGAGGAGAAGCAACAAGAAUGGAGGAAAGGAAGUGUAUGCAAUUGAAACCAUUGAUAGUACAGGAAAAGAUAUGAUGAUAUGGGAUGUUCAUAUUACAUGAAAAAUUUUGAUGUUGGACAUGUACCAGUAAGGUUUCUAAACAAAAUAAUUGUUAAAUGUCAUCAGUGAAAAUUUUGGCACCCUCACCUUCUGCCACAGAUGGCUGGAUUGCUUGGGAGAAAGGAAAUUCUUGAUGGCUCUGAAGAAUCUGUGACUUGGAAAUUGUAUCCACCAUUGUGUGACAGUAAAGGAUCAUACACAGUGCAGUUUGAACAUACCAUAGUGUUGCAUCCAACAUGUAAAGAAGUUGUCAGCAGAGGAGAUGACUAUUAA